AUUGAACGCUGGCGGCAUGCCUUACACAUGCAAGUCGAACGGCAGCAUAGGAGCUUGCUCCUGAUGGCGAGUGGCGAACGGGUGAGUAAUAUAUCGGAACGUGCCCUAGAGUGGGGGAUAACUAGUCGAAAGACUAGCUAAUACCGCAUACGAUCUACGGAUGAAAGUGGGGGAUCGCAAGACCUCAUGCUCCUGGAGCGGCCGAUAUCUGAUUAGCUAGUUGGUGGGGUAAAAGCCUACCAAGGCAACGAUCAGUAGCUGGUCUGAGAGGACGACCAGCCACACUGGGACUGAGACACGGCCCAGACUCCUACGGGAGGCAGCAGUGGGGAAUUUUGGACAAUGGGGGCAACCCUGAUCCAGCAAUGCCGCGUGAGUGAAGAAGGCCUUCGGGUUGUAAAGCUCUUUUGUCAGGGAAGAAACGGUAGUAGCGAAUAACUAUUACUAAUGACGGUACCUGAAGAAUAAGCACCGGCUAACUACGUGCCAGCCGCCGCAGUAA
RNAcentral lists this ribosomal RNA (502 nucleotides) under uncultured bacterium. RNAcentral describes it as "partial 16S ribosomal RNA". It matches the Rfam family "Bacterial small subunit ribosomal RNA", at positions 30 to 523 of the family's 1533-position model. The record is from RNAcentral.